UCCUGGAUAAUAAAUAAAAAUAUACUUAUUGUUGUAUGAAAAUUACAAUAUUUAUUCUGCGAUUAACAUAUGAGAAUAAUAUAUUCAAUUAAAUUGCUUACCUUCUACGUCUGAACCGUCAAAAUAAUUUAGAAACAACCUAAGGAUUAUAAAUGAAGACGUUUGGUACACCAUUUUAGUACGUUAUUUUUUUUAGAUUUAUUUCACACACGGAAAAGGAAAAAAAGCGAAUUAUAUAAAUAUUAAAAUAUUAAAAACCUUGUGUACGCACGAAUAGUAUAAUUAUUAUGUUGGUGACAGAUCACUUUCGCGAUGAAUUCCGUAUUACAUUACUCGUAUUUGUUCGAAAUAAAAAAUACACAAAUAUAUUAUAUAUUCGAAAAAUAUCGCUGAAAUUCAGAUUUUCUGGUAUAGGUAAUGUACAUUGAAUUAUUUUAUCGAAUUUGUUCAAAACUAAAAAGACUGCUCUCUAAUAAUAACCUAUUCGACAGCCGCAUACGCGACACACUAAUAAUACGGUUC
Cinara cedri is the source of this 522-nucleotide non-coding RNA. Lineage: Eukaryota; Metazoa; Arthropoda; Insecta; Hemiptera; Aphididae. The record is from the annotation of a GenBank genome assembly.